RNAcentral lists this long non-coding RNA (289 nucleotides) under Ananas comosus (pineapple). RNAcentral describes it as "long non-coding RNA (ACOM_LNC005180)". The record is from RNAcentral. Lineage: Eukaryota; Viridiplantae; Streptophyta; Magnoliopsida; Poales; Bromeliaceae.
UGUAUUGAUUAUAAAAAAUUUAUAUAUUACUGAUAUAUAAUAGUAUAAAAUAUUUAUAGUUUUAAUAAUAAAAUAUUUUAAUUAUUUUAAACUGUAUUAUUAAUACGGAGUCUGUAUCGUAUCGAUAUUUUAUUAGCAUGAUACGACACGAUAAAUACGGCGCAUGUCAAUGGACACUUAAAUUAUUGACAAUAAUCACCAUUAAAUUGAAUGUGUGUAAAUUAAAUUGAAUGAUUUUUUAUGGACAUGUAUAUGCUAAACUAUAUAAUUUUUUCUUUUUUAUUUAUUA